Molecule: long non-coding RNA, 4964 nt
Filed under: Taeniopygia guttata (zebra finch)
Lineage: Eukaryota; Metazoa; Chordata; Aves; Passeriformes; Estrildidae
Description: lncRNA (ENSTGUG00000019183.1)
Source: RNAcentral
GCAGAGCGGGCAACGCUCGGCGAGCUGAGUUAUUCUAACCUGCCUUCAUUGGACCUUAAUAUUAGUUAUGGGCAGGAUUUUGAAGUAUGCAAUGAAGAUAGCAAAGGCUAUUUAAGCAAAGAAGACUCUACAGUUGGUCUGGUAAUGGGGUUUUUUUGCUAGAAACCCUCAAAGCUGCACUGGUGUUUCAGCAUACGCUGAAUCAAGAAUCAAUUGCUUAACAAAUGCUGCUCUGAACUGGGCAUGAAGAAACACGGGCAAGACUCCAAUUUCACAGCUGUCCUCUAUAUACUGGAACCUGGUAAUAAAGUCUUCGCUAAGCCUUCUUUUCUCAAAGCUGAACAAACCCAGCUAUCUCAACCUUUCCUCAUGUGGCCAGCAAUUCCAGUAGCAGAAGGUACAUAAUCAGUAGCAGGAGUUCUACAAGUACUUCAAUAUGGAGCCUGAAGCAGUUUCUUUUACAUGUACUGGGAAUGGCUGAGGUUCUUAAGUUUAAUAUGUGAAAUUUUUGUCCACAUAAACCCAUUAAUAUCUUGUAUUUAUGCUUUUUCUUUUUUUCUGUAAAAUAAAUAGUGGGAAUGUUGAAGUUCCCCAGAAGCAUUACAAUUGAAUUCUUUAGGUGGUUAAAAUUAUAGAAAUUUUAUGGACUCUGCUGAUCCUGAUAACAGCUUGAAAUUCUGUGCUCCAGUUUUGAAAAUUAAAAACAUAAUGUUAUUAAUGGUCAGAAGAAAGUGUUUCAAAACCAUUUUCCUAGUAUACAUUCCUUCAACACUAGCAAUAUUUUAUCAUAGGAAUCACAAAAUUAUUAGGAUUGGAAGGGACCUCUGGAGAUCUAAUCCAACCAAGGCACUGUCACCUAGAGCAGGCACUCAUCCAAGUGGGCUCUGAAUGUGUCCUGAGAGGAAGACUCCACGGCCUCCUGGGCAGCUGUUCCAGUGCUCUGCUGCCCUCAAUGGAAGCAAGUUUUCCCUUCUCUUGAGGUGGAACUUCUUGUGGUUUUGUUUAUGGCCAUUGCUCCUUGUCCUGUCACUGGGCACCACUGAAGACAGUCCGGCACCAUCCUCUUGGCACCUCCCUUUGAGAUAUUUACAUGCAUUAGUGAGAUUCCCUCUAUGUCUUCUCUUCUCCAGACUAAGCAGGCCCAGCUCCCUCCAUCUCUCCUCAUUAAAGAGAUGCUCCAGGUCCCUCAUCAUUUUUUUGGCCCCUGCUGGACCCUCUCCAGUAGCUCCUUGACUUUGCUGUACUGAGGAGCCCAGAACUGGACACAGCGCUGCAGAUGUGGCCUCACUAGGGCUGAGCAGAAGGGGAAGAUCAGCUCCCUUCAGCUGCUGGCCACAUUCUUCCCAGUGCACCCCUGGAUACCAUUGGCCCUCCUGGCCACAAGGGCACUGCUGACUCAUGGCCAACUUGUGUCAUACAAAUAAAGGAAAAAUAAUUCUCAGCUCUUGUUUCUUUGUAAUAAAAUUAAAUAUUCAAAAGUAAUUCCAUAAUCUCAAAUUAUCCAAGUCAGGGCAUCUCUGUCUCUUAGAUACUCAAGAUUUUGCAUGGGCAUACAGAAAUGCCAUAAAUAUAUGGCCAUACAGAGAGACUAUAUCUAAAAUUAGACUAAAUUAUGUUUAACUGAAUUAUUUACUGUAGGUAUAGUUGAACUGUGUUCUGUUCUACACUGCCCAUUUCUUGUGCUUCAAGCCUAGGCUAGUGAAGCCCAUUGUAACAGUAAGAAAAUAAUUCCUUUUUGUGAUGAUUUUUAUCACUUGAUUUCUGUGUUUUCCUGGCUUUUACCCACUAGUUUCUUUGCUGAGACUGCACAUGGAGCUAUUGUAAGUGGUAGGUUUUUGGCAGAGGCAUUAACUUGUAAGAAACUAGAUAAACACUGUAACUGGUAAUAAUUGGUUUAAUUGUUUAAGAAUUUUAAAAAAUAUAGAUAAUAUCUGGUAAAUUGAAGGUGGAGUCCUCUGUCCAAUUACAAAUCUCUUUGAACAGAGCCUGGUUCCUCCAAAUAUACAGUUGUUCAAAAUACUUACUAGUGUGAAGAGUAAGAAAAAUGGCAGAAAUUCCAUACUUUGUUGCAUUCUUUAACUUUCUUUGAUCAAAAAUGUGUUAUACCCAGCAGUGGCAGAAUUUUUUGCUUUUGGAGCAGAUUCCAUUUUAGUAUGAAGACAUAAAAAUUGCUACAUGUGAAGAAACAUCCAUGGCUAAUUCCAUCACAAUUAUUAAUUUCUGUUGUAUUUGUGGGACAGGAUUUCAUCCAAGGACAUGGAAUGGAAUCACUUCUGUUCUCAGCAGCCUCUCUUUAAAUAAGCUUGGGAAACUCUUUCCAAUUUGUUUUUGUUGUAAUUUUUAUGACAGUUUCUAGUGCUUUCAAGGUCAGCUGACAAGAGGGUCUAUCAUGCUGGAAAUCAUGAUUAGUGGAGGCAAAAUGAACAUGUUCUCAAUAGCAUCCCUUGGGAUCAUAGAUGGUUUUUUUUUACUUCCUUUUACCAGAAAUGAAAAUCAUGUUCCAAAAGGUACUUCCUUUUGGUGCAAGUUCCAUUUCGAUAUUUGAUUAUGCAAGUCUAGAUUAAUAAAAGAAUCCUACAUAUUUCUACUAUAUAGUUGCAAUUAUUUGGUCUAGUCAAUACUAUCUUCCUGUUCUUCUAUUUAAUUUUAUUUACUUACUCCCAUAGAUUUUGAGAUUUGACAGGUUUUCUCCCUUAAAGUUUAAUCCCAGCUGCUCUUGUAUCUUCUUAGUGAGUGGUCUGUCGAAAGCUCCAAACUGCUAAGAAUAUAUGCCUUCAAAAAAGAUUUGCCUGUCCUCCAAAGGCAAGAGGCUCCUCACCACACUCACCAAACCCCAUGUAUAAAAAUAUAUCCACAGAACAGGCCCAUUCAGCUAUUGCUGCAUUCUAUUUCUUCCUUUAUUGGACAUUUCUCUAAGCACCUGAAUUUGUAAUAGACAAGCAAUGAAUUUAUGUGCUAUUAAUGCCUAGAAUAAUCUAUUUAAAUACUUUUCCCAAAAACCUGUCCCAUCAAUGGUUAAAAAGAGGAAGUAUGCAGUUCCCUGGCAUUCCUAAAAUCCUUACUGAAAGCAUUGCUUUGCUGAAAUUGUUGUUUACUAUAAAAUCAGUGAACUCAUGUUUCUGUUGAAGCACAGCUAUUUAAAUUUAGGAAGACUGGUACAUGAUUUAUAUAGAUAUUCCACAGUUUGAUUCUCUUCCUGAAGAAACUGUCAGUAUUAAUAUCCUCAGGAUUUACAUAAACAGAUACAGGAGUUCUGACUCUUUUCCCUACAUGUGUAAUCUUGAUUAUAUUUUCUUUUAUUUCAAAUGUGUAUGUGAAAGUAAUGUUGAAGUAUUCAUUUUAUUUUUACAGAUAAUUGAAAAGCAAAACUGGAAUUCAGUUUUUGGUACAUUGGUAACUCGGAAUUAUGUAUGUUUACAAAUUUUAUGAAGAUUAGAACAUUUAAUUCAUUGCCAGUAGCUCACUGCUUUUCUUCUUCUUGAAACUGUUUCUUACAUGUUCUAUUACACACAUGAAAUAUAUUUUUCAGAUUGUGUGAUUCUUGCAAUAUGCUGCUUUCCAUGCCUUCCUCAUAUUUACAUUAAAAGUUUUCCCUGACUUGGGUGUAUCAGCCAUUUAUGACUAAGGUUGGGGGAGUUUUUUCACUUAGUUGAAAACUCAAGCAACCUGUUUCCCCUGGAAAACAUAUUUAGUGAAAUUACAGUCUUGUUUGCCAUAUGGUGCAUCAUACAGAUGGAUGAUUAUUAUGCAAAUCUUUUGAUUAGUGAGUUUCUGCCAUUCUAGGAAUCAUUUGCUUUAUGUGUGUUGGCUUUGUACACAAUUAGUUCCAUUCUUAGGAUUAUCUGGGACCGUGCCAAAUCUUUGAUACAGUUUUUUACAACUUGAUACUUUUUUCUUGUAUUUGUGGUUUGUUCUAUUUUCUUUGUUCAUCAGACAGAAGAAGUAACUUUUACUUCAAUUUACCAUAUGAGAGAUAUAAUGCAAGAAACAUCGUGCCAUGCUGAAUGAAAUCAGUAGCAAAAUUUGCAUCUUUCCCUCAUAGACUCUGCCUCCAUGGUUAUAAGCAUGUGAGACUGAUGAGGAGAGUAGUCAAAUAAAAUAUUUAAUUCUGUUUGCAGCAAGAAUCUAGUAUGAUGAUUCCUACUAGCUUUUCUCCAAUAAGCAAGUUUUGUAGUUGAGCUCUGGACAGUUUGAUAUAUAGUGCUAAGAGUCUGGGUUUUUUUCAUUCCUACAUGGUUCACAAAGAUUCUGGGUAUGAAUUGUACAUCUGUGACCAUGGAAUUGUAUGUGAAAAGAAAAUAAAGAAAAUGUUACUUUUUGUAGCUAGGCUGGCAGCUAACCCUACUGUUAAAUUUAGAUUUCUUAGUUAGAAGGAGCCAAGGUCUGUGAGGGGUAGAAUACAUUCAGUAUAUGUUUAAGUAAGGCCCUUACUAACUUAAACUACUCUGUGUUGCAAUUUGUUAAUGCUCACCAAAAAAUCAGGUUAUUUCCACUGUCUCAAGCAGGUAUAAUAUUAAUAAAAAUUAAAAAGCAUUCCUAUAUGAUAUCAUUUAUAAGCAUGGACAGGAGUAUCUGAUUUCUUAUUUCUUGUGAGAGGUAAAAAUUAGCCCUUAGUACAGCUGAGACCCAAGGAGGUAUGAGUGGUCAUCUGGGCUCUCCCAGAAUGGUAAACUGCUCAUCACAGGAUGUGUUCCAGGAGUGGAUUUUUGUAAAUUAGGCUGAUCCUUUAUUUUUGUCACAAAACUUUCUUACAAGUGAGUCUCCUAAACUGAAAUUUAGGUUUUUAAAUGUUUUAUUAUUUGCAAUAUACUGAUGUUGUGGGAAUAUCUCAAACAUAAACAAUAUAAAAUGAUACUGUUGUAACUUAAUGGUAUAAAAUGUAAAGUGAUAUUCCUUAACUAUAUAAUUCAAGGUUAUAGUGAAGGAGAUGGUUUCCAAGAGUAAAACAGUAUUUUAUGAUCAAA